AGCUCCAAUAGCGUAUAUUAAUGUUGUUGCAGUUAAAAAGCUCGUAGCCGACUCUCGGGGCGGCUGUAACGGUCCGCAGAAAUGUGAGCACUGUUGUGGUCGCCUCUUCCUUCUGGACACCAUGUCUUCUCUUAACUGAGCGGAUGUGGGGGCCAGAUCGUUCACUUUGAACAAAUUAGAGUGUUCAAAGCAGGCCUCCGCCUGAAUACUUGAGCAUGGAAUGAUAUCAAUAGGUCCUUCCUCCCCGUUUAUUGGUGAUGGGGAGGAAGGAAAUGAGAAAGGGGAAUGGUUGGGGCCAUUCGUACUGCAGCGUUAGAGGUGAAAUUCUUGGAUCGCUGCAAGACGAACAACAGCGAAAGCAUUUGGCAAGAACGUUUCCA
RNAcentral lists this ribosomal RNA (380 nucleotides) under uncultured eukaryote. Its description in RNAcentral is "SSU rRNA". It matches the Rfam family "Eukaryotic small subunit ribosomal RNA", at positions 587 to 972 of the family's 1831-position model. The record is from RNAcentral.